This 348-nucleotide ribosomal RNA is filed under the name Vibrio cholerae. Its description in RNAcentral is "partial 23S ribosomal RNA". It matches the Rfam family "Bacterial large subunit ribosomal RNA", at positions 1 to 388 of the family's 2925-position model. The record is from RNAcentral. Lineage: Bacteria; Pseudomonadati; Pseudomonadota; Gammaproteobacteria; Vibrionales; Vibrionaceae.
UGUAUGGUUAAGUGACUAAGCGUACACGGUGGAUGCCUGGGCAGUCAGAGGCGAUGAAGGACGUACUAACUUGCGAUAAGCGCAGAUAAGGCAGUAAGAGCCGUUUGAGUCUGCGAUUUCCGAAUGGGGAAACCCAACUGCAUAAGCAGUUACUGUUAACUGAAUACAUAGGUUAACAGAGCAAACCGGGGGAACUGAAACAUCUAAGUACCCCGAGGAGAAGAAAUCAACCGAGAUUCCGGUAGUAGCGGCGAGCGAACCUGGAUUAGCCCUUAAGCACUCGGUGAAGUAGGUGAACAAGCUGGAAAGCUUGGCGAUACAGGGUGAUAGCCCCGUAACCGACGCUUC